AGCCACGCAGUUAGCACAGAAUGGACUAUUCUUUCACCUUUUACUAAAGAAUACCGUGUGCAUGCUGCAAAUAGUAGCAUACGCCUAUUUUUGGAGGGGUUCUCUCUAUUGAGUGUC
Solanum dulcamara is the source of this 117-nucleotide small nuclear RNA. RefSeq annotates it as U5 spliceosomal RNA. NCBI's taxonomy places the organism in Eukaryota, Viridiplantae, Streptophyta, Magnoliopsida, Solanales, Solanaceae. The record is from RefSeq and is a predicted model, not a curated record. The transcript has a single exon.